UACGGUUACCUUGUUACGACUUAGUCCCAGUUACCGACCCCACCUUAGGCAGCUCCCUCCCCGAAGGGUUAGGCCACUGACUUUGGGUGUUGCCGACUUCCGUGACUUGACGGGCGGUGUGUACAAUCCCCGAGAACGUAUUCACCGCGGCUUUGCUGAUCCGCGAUUACUAGCGACUCCGGCUUCAUGAAGUCGAGUUGCAGACUUCAAUCCGAACUGGGGCCUGCUUUAAGGGAUUAGCUUCCUCUCGCGAGGUUGCAGCCCGUUGUACAGGCCAUUGUAGCAUGCGUGCAGCCCUGGAUAUAAGGGGCAUGAUGACUUGACGUCGUCCUCACCUUCCUCCGAGUUAUCCCCGGCAGUCUCCCAUGAGUCCCCGGCCGAACCGCUGGCAACAUAGGAUAAGGGUUGCGCUCGUUGCGGGACUUAACCCAACAUCUCACGACACGAGCUGACGACAGCCAUGCACCACCUGUCACGGGCCCUAAUGGACACUGUGUUUCCACAGCUUUUCCCGUGAUGUCAAACCCAGGUAAGGUUCUUCGGGUUGCAUCGAAUUAAGCCGCAUGCUCCGCCGCUUGUGCGGGGACCCGUCAAUUCCUUUGAGUUUUAGCCUUGCGGCCGUACUCCCCAGGCGGGAUGCUUAAUGCGUUAGCUUCGGCACGGCAGUCAUUGGUAGACCGCCACACCUAGCAUCCAACG
This 699-nucleotide ribosomal RNA is filed under the name uncultured bacterium. RNAcentral describes it as "partial 16S ribosomal RNA". The record is from RNAcentral.